Molecule: ribosomal RNA, 497 nt
Filed under: uncultured bacterium
Lineage: Bacteria
Description: partial 16S ribosomal RNA
Rfam family: Bacterial small subunit ribosomal RNA
Source: RNAcentral
GAUGAGCGCUGGCGGCGUGCCUAAUACAUGCAAGUCGAGCGAACAGACGAGGAGCUUGCUCCUCUGACGUUAGCGGCGGACGGGUGAGUAACACGUGGAUAACCUACCUAUAAGACUGGGAUAACUUCGGGAAACCGGAGCUAAUACCGGAUAAUAUAUUGAACCGCAUGGUUCAAUAGUGAAAGACGGUUUUGCUGUCACUUAUAGAUGGAUCCGCGCCGCAUUAGCUAGUUGGUAAGGUAACGGCUUACCAAGGCAACGAUGCGUAGCCGACCUGAGAGGGGGGUCGGCCACACUGGAACUGAGACACGGUCCAGACUCCUACGGGAGGCAGCAGAAGGGAAUCUUCCGCAAUGGGCGAAAGCCUGACGGAGCAACGCCGCGUGAGUGAUGAAGGUCUUCGGAUCGUAAAACUCUGUUAUUAGGGAAGAACAAAUGUGUAAGUAACUAUGCACGUCUUGACGGUACCUAAUCAGAAAGCCACGGCUAACUACGUG